UAGGGAAUCUUCGGCAAUGGACGCAAGUCUGACCGAGCAACGCCGCGUGAGUGAAGAAGGUUUUCGGAUCGUAAAACUCUGUUGUUAGAGAAGAACAAGGACGUUAGUAACUGAACGUCCCCUGACGGUAUCUAACCAGAAAGCCACGGCUAACUACGUGCCAGCAGCCGCGGUAAUAUGUAGGUGGCAAGCGUUUUCCGGAUUUAUUGGGUGUAAAGCGAGCGCAGGCGGUUUCUUAAGUCUGAUGUGAAAGCCCCCGGCUCAACCGGGGAGGGUCAUUGGAAGCUGGGGGACUUGGGUGGGGGAGAGGAGAGUGGAAUUCCAGGUGUGGGGGUGAAAUGCGUAGGUGUAGGGAGGGACACCAGUGGGGAAGGCGGCUCUCUGGUCUGUAGCUGACGCUGAGGCUCGAAGGGGUGGGGGGCAAACAGG
RNAcentral lists this ribosomal RNA (429 nucleotides) under Gemmatimonadota bacterium. RNAcentral's name for it is "Gemmatimonadetes bacterium partial 16S ribosomal RNA". It matches the Rfam family "Bacterial small subunit ribosomal RNA", at positions 355 to 776 of the family's 1533-position model. The record is from RNAcentral. Lineage: Bacteria; Pseudomonadati; Gemmatimonadota.